UAGGGAAUCUUCCGCAAUGGACGCAAGUCUGACGGAGCAACGCCGCGUGAGUGAAGAAGGAUUUCGGUUCGUAAAACUCUGUUGUUAGAGAAGAACAGCGCAUAGAGUAACUGUUAUGCGUGUGACGGUAUCUAACCAGAAAGCCACGGCUAACUACGUGCCAGCAGCCGCGGUAAUACGUAGGUGGCAAGCGUUGUCCGGAUUUAUUGGGCGUAAAGCGAGCGCAGGCGGUCAAUUAAGUCUGAUGUGAAAGCCCCCGGCUCAACCGGGGAGGGUCAUUGGAAACUGGUUGACUUGAGUGCAGAAGAGGAGAGUGGAAUUCCAUGUGUGGCGGUGAAAUGCGUAGGUAUAUGGAGGAACACCAGUGGCGAAGGCGACUCUCUGGUCUGUAACUGACGCUGAGGCUCGAAGGCGUGGGGAGCGAACAGG
RNAcentral lists this ribosomal RNA (429 nucleotides) under Bacteroidota bacterium. RNAcentral describes it as "Bacteroidetes bacterium partial 16S ribosomal RNA". It matches the Rfam family "Bacterial small subunit ribosomal RNA", at positions 355 to 776 of the family's 1533-position model. The record is from RNAcentral. Lineage: Bacteria; Pseudomonadati; Bacteroidota.